RNAcentral lists this ribosomal RNA (429 nucleotides) under bacterium. Its description in RNAcentral is "partial 16S ribosomal RNA". It matches the Rfam family "Bacterial small subunit ribosomal RNA", at positions 355 to 776 of the family's 1533-position model. The record is from RNAcentral.
UAGGGAAUCUUCCACAAUGGACGCAAGUCUGAUGGAGCAACGCCGCGUGAGUGAAGAAGGUUUUCGGAUCGUAAAGCUCUGUUGUUGGUGAAGAAGGAUAGAGGCAGUAACUGGUCUUUAUUUGACGGUAAUCAACCAGAAAGUCACGGCUAACUACGUGCCAGCAGCCGCGGUAAUACGUAGGUGGCAAGCGUUGUCCGGAUUUAUUGGGCGUAAAGCGAGCGCAGGCGGAAUGAUAAGUCUGAUGUGAAAGCCCACGGCUCAACCGUGGAACUGCAUCGGAAACUGUCAUUCUUGAGUGCAGAAGAGGAGAGUGGAAUUCCAUGUGUAGCGGUGGAAUGCGUAGAGAUAUGGAAGAGCACCAGUGGCGAAGGCGGCUCUCUGGUCUGCAACUGACGCUGAGGCUCGAAAGCAUGGGUAGCGAACAGG